This 404-nucleotide ribosomal RNA is filed under the name uncultured bacterium. RNAcentral describes it as "bacterial SSU rRNA". It matches the Rfam family "Bacterial small subunit ribosomal RNA", at positions 359 to 775 of the family's 1533-position model. The record is from RNAcentral.
GAAUAUUGCACAAUGGGCGGAAGCCUGAUGCAGCAACGCCGCGUGAGGGAUGACGGCCUUCGGGUUGUAAACCUCUUUUAGCAGGGAAGAAGCGAAAGUGACGGUACCUGCAGAAAAAGCGCCGGCUAACUACGUGCCAGCAGCCGCGGUAAUACGUAGGGCGCAAGCGUUAUCCGGAAUUAUUGGGCGUAAAGAGCUCGUAGGCGGUUUGUCGCGUCUGCUGUGAAAUCCGGAGGCUCAACCUCCGGCCUGCAGUGGGUACGGGCAGACUAGAGUGCGGUAGGGGAGAGUGGAAUUCCUGGUGUAGCGGUGGAAUGCGCAGAUAUCAGGAGGAACACCGAUGGCGAAGGCAGAUCUCUGGGCCGUAACUGACGCUGAGGAGCGAAAGGGUGGGGAGCAAACAG